GACGAACGCUGGCGGCGUGCUUAACACAUGCAAGUCGAACGAAGAGCGAUGGAAGCUUGCUUCUAUCAAUCUUAGUGGCGAACGGGUGAGUAACGCGUAAUCAACCUGCCCUUCAGAGGGGGACAACAGUUGGAAACGACUGCUAAUACCGCAUACGAUCUAAUCUCGGCAUCGAGGAUAGAUGAAAGGUGGCCUCUACAUGUAAGCUAUCACUGAAGGAGGGGAUUGCGUCUGAUUAGCUAGUUGGAGGGGUAACGGCCCACCAAGGCGAUGAUCAGUAGCCGGUCUGAGAGGAUGAACGGCCACAUUGGGACUGAGACACGGCCCAGACUCCUACGGGAGGCAGCAGUGGGGAAUCUUCCGCAAUAGACGAAAGUCUGACGGAGCAACGCCGCGGGAGCGAUGACGGCCUUCGGGUUGUAAAGCUCUGUUAAUCGGGACGAAAGGCCUUCUUGCGAAUAGUGAGAAGGAUUGACGGUACCGGAAUAGAAAGCCACGGCUAACUACGUG
This 510-nucleotide ribosomal RNA is filed under the name uncultured bacterium. RNAcentral describes it as "partial 16S ribosomal RNA". It matches the Rfam family "Bacterial small subunit ribosomal RNA", at positions 28 to 507 of the family's 1533-position model. The record is from RNAcentral.